RNAcentral lists this long non-coding RNA (446 nucleotides) under Gallus gallus (chicken). Lineage: Eukaryota; Metazoa; Chordata; Aves; Galliformes; Phasianidae. The record is from RNAcentral.
GGAAAAGAAAGCAGGAUCUCAUUGCUGAUUAUUGAGAAAGGCAGAAGCAGGACUGCACCAGCUGAAACUGCUAGAGUGAAGGUGCUCAAGAACAGCGAUAUUCUGUUAACUAUGGCAUCUUCAUCCUCUUGCUCAUCUGCUUUUCUUUUGUAUCUUGUGAUUAUGAAGUAGGACACUAUGUAGAGAACAGCAAAUAGGAGAAAACAGAUCGUGUACUCCCGCACUUGGCUGUGGAAGUUCUGCUCGCGGAUCGACACCUCGUCCGCCUCCAUCCUUCAUAGUCCCGCGGCCCCCGCGCGCAAUGGCGGCCGCCGCCGCCGCGCCUGCUGCUGUCCCCCCGGCGGCGGGCGGGCCACCAUGGCCGGCGGCAGCGCCCGCUGCUCCCCCCGAGCCCGGCCGGCGACCGAGAGACUCCAGCGGCGACGAGCUCCGCCGCUCUGUCAGCG